Daktulosphaira vitifoliae (grape phylloxera) is the source of this 766-nucleotide long non-coding RNA. RefSeq lists it as uncharacterized. The transcript has 3 exons. Lineage: Eukaryota; Metazoa; Arthropoda; Insecta; Hemiptera; Phylloxeridae. The record is from RefSeq and is a predicted model, not a curated record.
UUGGCAUGGUACUUUUAAAAUUUGUUUUGUUUAGUACACUCAAACAAAUCAAUAUAUUAUGUACACAUGUUAUCACAACAUUAUUUUAUUAAUUAAAAAUGUUACUCUGUCAUUGCAUGAUUUUUAAAAUCAUGAUAGUAAUGUAGAUUAAUAAUUAAUAAAUCUUAUAUACAAGUAUAUAGAAAUGGAGUGUCAUAAUAAUCAUAACGCGGAACAUAAAAAAUUCAAGAAUCAAAUACACUCUUUUUGAAAUUAUUUCUAUGAUGAUAUAUACAGCAAUAGGAAAAAAUAUGUUUAAAAAUUUCAUUAAGUCAAUCAAAAUAGGGAUGACAAUAUUUUAUGUGAAGUAAUUAAGUUUUUGCUAUCUAAUUCUGUGGAAAAUCACAUGAAAUGAAAGAGAAAAUCGAUGAAAAAGUAGCUUAAAUUGAAUGACAUUCAUUUUUGAUGAUGACAAAAAAUUACAUUUUACUCUAUUCGAUCAACACUCAGAACUUAAAGGCGACACAGAAUAUAGUUUGAAUUUACUUUUAUUCGCAUCAUUAAGAAUGAAAUGUCUUGAUAAAAUCAUUCAAAACCUUUGAAAUGUUUGCAUGAAUAAUCAAACUUUGUUUCGACAAAUUCAGGACUAAAAGUUCUGGAAAUUUCAUUUCAACGGAACUAUUUAGUCUUUUAGCCAUUUAUUUAACGUAUUUAUAUUAAUGUAUUUUCCAAACGUCUGAUUCGAUAUAUUAAAAGAACCGCUUUUUUGUGAUUGACGUAAAACUAU